RNAcentral lists this non-coding RNA (30 nucleotides) under Rattus norvegicus (Norway rat). Lineage: Eukaryota; Metazoa; Chordata; Mammalia; Rodentia; Muridae. The record is from RNAcentral.
UCACGAAGUAUAAGCUCAGGAUAUCUGCCU